Triticum urartu is the source of this 1679-nucleotide non-coding RNA. NCBI's taxonomy places the organism in Eukaryota, Viridiplantae, Streptophyta, Magnoliopsida, Poales, Poaceae. The record is from RefSeq and is a predicted model, not a curated record.
AGCCGACAUUCCGUCUAGUCCUGGUGCUUUGAGAUCACCCAUGCCAUCAAGAGCCUUUUUCAGUUCCUCUCGAGUGAAUUCUGCCUUGAGCAUAUCGUUCAUAGCUUGGGACACACUAACUGGAGCAGGCGCCGCUGCCGGAUCUCAUUUCCUCAUCCUUCUUCCAGGCCAGACCACCAGAUCCGGAGUGCCGCCGCCGGAUCCCGUCCCCGUAGGAACCCUUCGCGUCACCGCGAAUCCCACAGCGGCGGACAUGGUGGCCUCUGCAGGUGAGCUGGCUCCGGCCGCUCGGCUGUCCACUCCGCUCCAGGAUCCCCUGCUCCCGUGCUCCACCACCACCAGUGGCCCCACGCGCGCCACCGGGAGUCCCAAGGCAGCGGCCAUGGUGGCCUCUACAGACGACCGCUCGGGUCCGCCGCCGCUCCAGCACCGACCGAUGGGCGGCCAUGGCACUCCGCCCGUCGACCUACUAACUCUGUUUUUUUCGACUGAGGCGCUUGCAAGGAUGAGGGGAAUAGGGGGAUAAGGAGCUGGGCUCUAGAUCCAAAGGGCGCUGCCUCUUACAGCAGCUGGACAUCUAUCAAGAGGGUGCUGGAUUGGCAGUCCUCCACAGUUGCUGGGAAGAAGAAGAUGGGCACCUCCUUCGCCCAGCCGCUCCUUUGGGAUCCUGCUACACUCCUCGCCACCACCUUCUCCUUCUCCCAGCUGGCCGCCCCCUUUCUUUGCAGCUUGACAUAAAGAUUAGCAUGUGUGUGUGUCCUGCAGCUCGAGAGGGACAAAAUAGGAGGUCACCAUGAAAUGUCGAAAGAGAAAGAGAGGCCGUAAGAGUGGAUCAUUCAUUUGUCAUUGGUUUCUCAUCACUUAUCCAAUACUUUCUUUGUUGCUAUCUUUCGAUGAUGUACUGACUUGCUAUAUCUAUAUUCUCCAUAUGUAAAUACGCAAGGGAGUGGAUACCAGUAUAUUACUCUUUCCGUCCAUAUAAUCAGAUGGUUGUUUGUCAAUUUUAUAAAAUUCUUUGGAUUUGCUCAAUAUGUGGCAUGUACCUAGGACCAUUCACUCCAAUGUGGUAUGAGAACAUUUAUUUUCUAAUUGUUCUUGGUUUGAUGUCAAGGCCUACUCAUUCUUGAAAUCUAUGUGGAUUUUUCAGAAACACUAUGUUCCAAGAACUUUAUUCAAUAGAGCUGGGCAUAUAGGUCCGUCAUGACUGGCAAUGCCCUAUAGGAUGGCUUGGUUGAUGCAAUCCGUGUAUCCCUCACCGAUCCACUUGGAACUCAUGCUACAGACCAUCAAUUAGGUGUGGAUAACCAUACUCAAGUCUGGUAGUGUGAUGGCUCCUGUGGAACUAAUCUCUGCACAAUUUGUUUCAAUGAGCACCCAGUAAGGGAGAACACUACUGAUACAGUAUAUAUUGGACAUUGAAUUGGUGCUCCAUGGAGCCAGGGCACCAUGAUUUAUACACAAAUCCAAACCAAAUUUGGGUAUAGUUUUUCUGGAAAUUUUAGUUCUGGGGUAUAAUACCUGAUUAUUAUAGAAUUCAAGUACUCUACAUCUGGGAUAUUGCUGUGCAUAUCUAUUUCUGCAUACCAUACUGCUUGUAUAUAAAAUCAACAUAUAUCUGCAGUCAAACAAUCAUUAGAAAAAGUAACUGCAAUUUGGCUUUAGUACAAAUAUUUCACAUA